RNAcentral lists this unclassified non-coding RNA (310 nucleotides) under uncultured fungus. RNAcentral describes it as "partial contains small subunit ribosomal RNA, internal transcribed spacer 1, and 5.8S ribosomal RNA". The stretch from base 1 to 73 matches the Rfam family "Eukaryotic small subunit ribosomal RNA", at positions 1759 to 1831 of the family's 1831-position model. The record is from RNAcentral. Lineage: Eukaryota; Fungi.
GCAAACUUGGUCAUUUAGAGGAAGUAAAAGUCGUAACAAGGUUUCCGUAGGUGAACCUGCGGAAGGAUCAUUAAUGAAUGAAGUAUUGAGGAUGUUGCUGGCCCUUGUCCUUUGAGAUGGGGCAGGUGCGCUCCUCAGAUACCCCCAUUUAUGAAACCUGUGUGCACUCUGUGUAGGUUUGCCUUUGUGUUCAAACCUAUGUUUUUUUCAUUCAUUGGCUCUAUUUGGAUGUUGAAUGUUUUCUUUGAUAAAAUAAAUCACAACUUUCAACAAUGGAUCUCUUGGCUCUCGCAUCGAUGAAGAACGCAGC